Molecule: long non-coding RNA, 1148 nt
Filed under: Olea europaea subsp. europaea
Lineage: Eukaryota; Viridiplantae; Streptophyta; Magnoliopsida; Lamiales; Oleaceae
Source: RNAcentral
CAGCUUCUCCUUUUUCAAUGUUGUUUGAUUGAUCUGCGAUGUCAUGUUCCUGAAAAAUUACAAUGUAGAUAUUAAGCUCAUGGAACAAGUGGUACUUAGCUCAAACAUCGAUAACUAACUUGAUUUUUAAAAAACCUAAGGGACGGGUAGGGUUGAUGAAUUCCUAAAUAAGAACUCUGAAAUAAAAUAAAUUAUCCUAAAAUUAAAAAACAGAAUAAAUAAAUAAAGUUGAAAGCUUGAGUUGCCUCCCAAGAAGCGCUUCUUUAUAGUCACUAGCUUGACUCAACCAAGGUGUCUACGGUGGAUCUUCGGGUGGAGCAUCUUUCUUGUUUCUAAAUUUUACCCUCGGCUUUGCAUUCUCCUUCGCCGUAGUAUGGCCAAUAAAAUCAGGCGAGUUGAACCUCGAUGUAGCCUUCAAAACCUCUUUUGGUUUGACAAUGUUUGGAGGUUUCAAAGGCCUAGCCACAUAGCCUUCUUUUUUGUCAGGUGGAUCAGCUUCUUGGGUGAAUAUGAAAUCCACUACUUCUUCGGCUCCCGAGUAUUUGCCAUCAGUAGAUGCAUCCCUUACUAAGUAAUUGAGAGCCAUAUAUUGUUCUAAAGGGUCAUAGAACACUUCCUUUUUUUCUCUGUGACCUAAAACUGCUUCAGCCGAUUGGGCCAUAUUGCAAAUGUUGACUUUUUCUUGAGGCUUUUCUACUUGAUGGAUGUUGAAAGUCACAUGCUCUUCAUUAACCCGCAGUGUCAAUUUUCCUUCCUGGACAUCAAUCAAUGCUCUUCCAGUAGCUAGGAAAGGUCGACCAAGAAUCAACGGUAUUUUCUCGUUCUCCUCCAUGUCCAACACCACAAAGUCCACAGGAAGGAUGAACUUAUCGACCUUCACCAAUACAUCUUCAAUCAUGCCUUUGGGAUAUGUGAUCGAUCUGUCCGCCAGUUGCAAAGUGAGGGUUGUGGGCUUCACUUCUCCAAGACCCAGCUUUUUGAACACUGAUAGGGGCAUCAGGUUUAUACUAGCUCCAAGGUCGCACAGUGCCCUAUCAAAUGUGAUACCACCAAUAUUGCACGGGAUGUUGAAGCUACCCGGAUCUUUCAAUUUGUGAAGGAGCUUCUGAAGUAUGUCACUACACCCCUCUGUCAGCUUAAUUGUCUCG